This is an RNA transcript of Camelus dromedarius (Arabian camel), 7029 nucleotides long. It is a transcript of the gene named radial spoke head component 9, with no coding region annotated. Lineage: Eukaryota; Metazoa; Chordata; Mammalia; Artiodactyla; Camelidae. The record is from RefSeq and is a predicted model, not a curated record. The transcript is spliced from 5 exons.
AGGUCACGGCUUCUAGCAACCUGACAGGCGUUGAGCUGAGCCGCCGGCGCGAUGGACGCGGAGAGCCUCCUGUUAUCGCUGGAGCUGGCGUCCGGUAGUGGGCAGGGCCUCAGCCCAGACCGUCGGGCCUCGCUGCUCACUUCCCUUACGCUGGUUAAACGCGACUACCGCUUCGAUCGGGUCCUCUUCUGGGGCCGCAUCCUCGGCCUCGUUGCGGAUUACUAUAUCGCGCAGGGCCUGAGUGAGGACCAGCUCGCACCGCGCAAGACGCUGUACAGCCUGAACUGCAUGGAGUGGAGCCUCUUGCCCCCUGCCACAGAGGAGAUGGCGACGCAGACUUCUGUGGUGAAGGGCCGCUUCAUGGGGGACCCGUCGCAUGAGUACGAACACACUGAGGUGCAGAAGGUGAACGAGGGUGAAAAGGUCUUUGAAGAAGAAGUAGUGGUCCAGAUCAAGGAGGAGACCCGCUUGGUGUCUGUCAUUGACCAGAUAGACAAGGCUGUGGCUAUCGUCCCUCGAGGCGCUCUCUUUAAGACCCCUUUUGGAUCCAUAAACGUCAAUCGGACCUUUGAAGGCCUGUCCUUGUCCGAAGCCAAGAAGCUCAGUUCCUACUUCCACUUCAAGGAGCCUGUUGAGCUGAAGAACAAGACCCUGCUUGAGAAGGCUGACAUGGACCCCUCCCUGGACUUCAUGGACUCCUUGGAGCAUGACAUCCCCAAAGGUAACAGCCUGUUACUUUGAGAAUGCUGGAUCUGCCCCCAGCUCAGAGCAGUGGGCCAAGCCACCUGCUGUUCUUCUCUGAGUGAGUUGGACUGAGGGCCUGGGUGGGAACUGGGAGUUCACCAUGGGACCUUGAGGGUGGAGCUUCCCCAGGGCUCAAUACAGGGCUCCGCUCAUAGUAAACAGGUAGUAAGUGAGGACAAAAGGAUUGAUUGUUCCAUGUGCUUCCACAGACAGGAAGUCUCUCAGUGCCUCUUUUGAUUUUCAUAUCCAUCUCGAAUGGAGGCAAGUUGGGAAUCUCCCCCACCCAAACAUCUCUGAAAACAUCCCUGAAAUACUAGUUACACAUACAUCUCAACUGUUAGUUUCAGAGUUAGAUCCAGUGCUUGGCACAUAGCUGGUGCUCAGGGAGUGGGUGCUGACUGACCUGCUAAAGAAGUGAGUUCUGUGCAUUUUCUCCCUGCUAUGUGUGUUUUACUUUUUAAUCUUAAAAUGGACAACUUCAGAGCCUUCCUGUGCUUCAGGUCCCACCUGGCCCAGGCACAUAGCCAGCAGUUGGUGGUGGGAUCACAGAGACCCCAGAUGCUUCCCCUGAGCUUUGCCAGUAAAGUGUGUCCUGGGAAGAUGCUCUUACUUGGAUGCUACAUCCCAGGACAGGUGCCAGGUUCUGAGCAUUUGGGAGCCAGACCCAAGGCACUGACGCAGUACCCCUGCUUCUUUCCCUUCCCAUGCUUGGUGCUCUGAGAACUGGAGGGCUCUGUUGUUGAUGACAGCAAUAGUAAUGAUAAUAACAACUCCUAAAAGCAGUGACACUGCUUAUUGUGUGCCAGGCACUAUACUCAGUCCUUCCCAUGCCUUAUCUCAUUGUAAUCUUCACAGCUGACCUAGGAGGUAGAUACUAUUAUUAUCCCCAUUUUACAGGUGAAGAAACAGGCUCAGAGAGAUAAGCCCAAGGACACAACUAAUGUUAGAGCAUUAGACUCCAGGGCUCUGCCCCUAACGGAAGUGUCACGUAGAUGGUGUUUUUCUUUUAAGUGGAGAGUGGCGAUGGCAGGACAGUAGUCACCCCCACCACUAGGGGGAAACACUUCUAAGAAGCAACGAGGAACCCCUUUGGGCUGGAACUCAGGGUACGGGUGUGAUGUCAAUAGCGGUUAAAGGCAAGGGCUCUGGAGUCAGAAAGCCUGGGUUGGAAUCCUGAAUCUGCUACAUACUAGCUGUGUGACCUCAGGGAAGUCCCUCAAUUUCCUUGUGCCUCAAUUUCCAAAAGGGGAAUAAUAUGUUCUAUCUCAUUGGAUUGUUAUGAGAAUUAAAUAAGUUAAUACUAUACAAAAUGCUUAUGAUUGUGCCUAACAUAUUAAGGACUGAAGUAAAAAUUAAUAAUUAUUACUUAUAUUAUUUUCAGUGGGAAGAAGGCCUUACUGAGGUGGGUUGGGCAGGCCUAGAACGGCCUAGAUGGCCAAGGGGUAGGAGGCCUAGACCAAGGCAGGAGCUGCUUGUGGCUUGUGAGCAGGUCUGUAAUAAUAAGGCAGUGGUGCAUGGAUGGAUGGAGAAGGGGAAGCCAGGGAUCUGGAGGCAGUUUCAGGUCUACUGCAGUGCCCCAGGGGCCUGGGCCAUAGGAUCCCUGGUGGGUAAGGGCUGCCAGCAAAGAGUGGCUACUCUGGCCUCUGCCACAUGGGGGUGCCAGAAUCAAGCCUCCCUGAACAUAGAAAGAGGGUCCUGGACCUUUUGGGGAGAUGAAGGUUUAUAGGGGCUUGGGCAUUUCUCACUUAUCAGACAUACUUUCCAGACUCAUGUUACCUCCACCAACUCUGCUCGCAUCCUGGCUAGGACCCCGAGGGGGCUGCACAUCCCCUGCUGAUAAAGGGAGCCAGGAACACUGUGGCGGGGGGCCCAGCACCAGGGGCUGAGUGGUGGGCAGGGAAAAGUCCUCCUAAUGUCCUUAACCUGGGGGCAGCAGCCCCUCCUCCCUGAUUCAGGGUGUGGCUGGAAAGCCUGGCUCGGUGCUGACCUUUCAGCCUUCACACCUGCAACAGAAUGUUCCAGGGCCAGCAGACGACACACUCCCUCCAGUGCUCGGUGACCAGGAGUGCCUCCUCCCCCUGGAACUUCAUCCUUUGUGCAGUGGGAGGGGCCAGGAGGGUGCUGGGGCCUUUGCAGCCAUGACCAAAGCUGACUAGACAGGGUGUGGGGGCCAAACAGUCUUCCUAAGGGAACCCCACCAGCCCUAUCUGCCAUGCACUUGGGAUAAAGGGGACACGCAAAGCAGCUGUCUCUCUCCACAGCAGGGGAUGUGAAAUACAGAGCUUUGGGGUAUUCCUAAAGGAUGCUGGGGCCAGUCAGCAAGUGAAUUAAUCAGGCCCCUGGGAGGUAGAGGAUCUGGACCCAGGAGGUGGAUGAGUUGCAGGGGCCUGAGGCCCUAGACUUCUUGCCCUAAUGGUGGGCCUUAGGGCUGAAGGAUCAGCCAAUGAUUCAACACCCUAGUCUUCCCCAGUAUGCUGCUUUGUCCUUAGUGCUGGAGCCUUGGGAGCUGAAGGUUCCUGGCAUCUUGUGUGUGUGUAUGUGGCCUGAGGGGAGGGGUGCUCCCAGCCUGACCCUGGGAAACAUCACAGCUUCUGGGGCACUGGCUCCUUUCCUCCCAGAGCCACCACCAGAAAGCCUCCAGGAAGUCAGGCCCAGUUUUUUUCUCAUAAUGGCUUGAUGGAGGCGUGGGGUGGUGGUGGUGGUGGUGUAGAAGUGUGGAUGGUCAGGGGAGAGCACUCUGAUUUUGCUUCCAGACUCCCUUCCUUAUUGCCAGUGAAAGAGCAGGAGCUGCUGGGAGGCUGCCCCACCUGGCAGACAGCAGCCAGGCUACUAAGUAGGGCCAAAAUCCCACGUUAGAGUCCCCUGGGACACCAGCACUGGCUGGUGGGAUGGAAUUUGGCAGCUCUUCUCUGCCCAGGUAGGGUCACUGUUUCCUUUCUGGGUCUGAGGGGAACUUCGUGUCACCUGUGAGCAGGGAUGGUUUAGGCUGGCCCUGUCCCUGGGACUCCUGCUGUCUGCCCAUGGGGUAGGCCAGGAGCUCAGCAGCUGGUGCCUGGGCCACCCUUGGCUGAAGAGAAGAUGGGGUAUUUCCUGGGGCCACUAAUGCCCUCCUGAGCCAUCCUGCUCUGCAGAGUUUUGUGGGAGUAGGUAACUUUGAGGGCAGAACUAUCCUCCUGGUAGACACCAGGCAACAGCUAAGAGUUCUCUGAGCCUGGGCUGCAGCCAGGUGAUGCAGAGCUCCAGGUCAGGAUGCCAGGUUUCUCAGCAGUACUCUGCCAUUCAAUGCUCUUUAAUCUUCUACUCCAUCAGCAAAUACCACUGAGCAGCUACAACAUGCCAGGCACUGGGGAUGCUGUCAGGAACAAGGCAGACACCGUCCCUGCCUCACAGAGGUUUUGGAAAGACCAAAUGAAAUAAAGGAUGGGAAGUGGAAAUGUAAAACAGAAGGUGCCUCACAAAAAAGGUCAUCGGUGUCCUGCAAAGCAGAGUUGGGGUGGAGGGCAGAAAACCUCUCCUUGCACCACUCUGGGCUGUAGCUGACAGCUGACUGCCUGGCACUGGGCUGCUGGGGCGCCAGCACAAGUGAGUUCUCAGCAGCAAUGCCCAGUUCAGGCAGCAGAGGGCAGCAAGUGGCCUGCCUGUCUGGAAAGUGGCCUUUAAAAUGUGGUUGGGGAGGGGUUGGGGAUAGGAGAGACAGUACUGGAGAGGGGUGGGGAAUGUGGUGUCCGGGUGAUCAGCCCUUCCUUGGCGGGUGUGCAGGUGGGGUUCCUCCCGCCAGUCUCUUGGAAUCCUGGCUGACAGGUGCCUCGACCUUCUAGACCAGAGGUCUGGCCUUGCCCAUCAAUUAGACAGGUUACUCUUCCACCUGUAGCCCCCCACCCAGUGCCCCUGGACAGCUCUGAACCCCAGCCUGGUUCUCCUCCUCAAACUUAAUCUCAGAGCUGUGUUGCCCUUCUUUCUGGAAGACAGGAGAAUGUAAUGAUGAAGAGCAUACACCCAAUUGAGGUUUGAAAACCAGCAAGGUGGGUGAGAUCCUCAGGGCCCAGGACACCCAGGACUUCCUGCUGAUGCAAGAGGCCCCGUUCCUUAUUUACUAGUGUGUAUCCCACUACAUCCUCAAAAAAGAGAGCUUGUGGAGAAGAGUGGCCACCAGGGGGGCGGAGGGGAGGUCUGAGGAGACUUGGAAGAGAGGAGGGGCUUUGAGCUGAAACAGCAGGGCUGCAGGAGGCUGCUUCCCCUGAGUCCUAGAGGUUGUGGCUGGCUGGGCCCAGCCUUUCCAGCAUUUGCAAUAAGUGGGUGAAGGUGACAGCAAGUGCCUGGCUUCCCAGAUAGAUGCUAUGUGACUCCUGGGACAUUAAGAGUCUGUUUCCUGAGUGACAAGCUGAGCCAGGGACAAGGAGAGGACUGGAUUGUGACAGGAAUGCAAGGGAGGGAGAAGGCAGUGUCGGCUGGCCGGUCCCUCACAUGCUGUUUCUGUAGUCUGCCAGCACCCUUCAGCCUGCUUGGCACUGCCCCCCGCCCCGACGGGGGCACUAUAUUUUGCUAGCAUCUCGACCAGGUUCCCCUAGCUCCUGGCUGAGGUCGGGGGAGCUCCUGCUGAUGAGCCUGGGCCCCUCAUCUACUGGAAGCAAGAAGUAGCCAAACCCUAGCUGGGGAGACUGGUGCCAGGGGAAGCCAGGACCCAGCCCUUGCCCAGGAUGUGCCAAGGCGCUGAUGACAGGGAACUGAUAGAAUGGUCAGGGUUGGGGAACUCCCGAUUCCAGUUCUCUGGGGGCAGUGUUUGGCCUGGGCACACUGCAAGCUGCCUUCCCCAGGUGGGUGAAGCUUGACCUUCUUCAGUUUGAGGGGGCUGUGACUGUGGGCUCUAAGGGCAGGGACAGACUCCCCAAAUGAUGCUCUGGACACUGGCAGGGAGAACUAAGCAGGGCUAUCUUCCUAGGGGUCUGUGCUUCUGGCCAAAGGCUGAAUGCAGCGUACUGGGAACACUUCGUUCUGUCACACCCCAUUUCCUGUGACCCCUAGGCCAUCUGUUUUCUGGAAUGAGUGAGUAGGAGGCAAUAGGCUAAGGCCUCUAGAACUCUGCCAGCAGGUCUUGGAGGUGGAAGACCUCAGGUACCCAGAGAGGAAAGCUGUAGGAGCUAGAAGAAAUACUCCCUUCUCUGCCCAGGAAAGACCCCCCCCCCCCAAUCCCUGGCAGUGCCCUGGCCAGAGCUCUGAUAACCCAGGAACACACUUCUUCCUCCUUGAUGCUGUCUGGCUGGCACUGAGCAGGCCUGAGGGAGUGGGAUCAAGCCCACACUGUGCCUUCCACUUCAUCUCAUGGUUGGUGGUGGCACUUGCUGCAGGCCACCGCACAAUGCUGAGGUGGCCUCCAAGUGGCAUCCUCCUAAGCAAACCAGGGGCAGAUGAUCUGCAUGCAGCCAGAAAGCUCAGGCUUUGACCUGGGCAGGUGCUGGCACCUAAGCAAGGCUGAGCUGCCAUCAGGGCCAGGGGUGCUUGGUGGUCAGGUCUCUCAGAUGCAGGGUGGCCCCCUGGUGGGUGGGGCCUGAUUUGUGAGGCUGCUGGGUGUGGAGUGACCAGGGUGGGCCAUGGUUGGAGGAGGCCUGGGGGCAACGGGGCGGUGGGAGCCAGGCAGCCGGGGCUGAGCUGGCAGCUGAUGAAGGCCUCGGCAUAGCUCUCAGUGCAUCACUGGCUGGUCCGGCACCAAAACCUUCAAAGCAUUUGCCUUUCUGGCAAGGCCUGGAGCAGAGCUGCGGCUGGGCCGGGGAGAGGCCUCAGUGCGCAGGGGAAUAGAAGCUCCAGAUCUGCAUCCAGAGGCGAUUUUCCCAGGCUCCUUCCUCCCACACAGCGGCUCCCUCCCUCGGUUCUGGAGCUGGAUCAGGCCCUUCCCGCCAAGUCCUCAUGGCUGCACAACUCAGCCCCGGGCUGGGCUGCUCCCGUCUGGGGAGCAAAAAACCAGGGCAGAACCCAGGACAAAGGCUCAUUAGCUGCAGCCCAAGUCCCCUCCCGCCAAGGAUGGCUCCCAGGCUCCCAGCUGCCAGAAAGGGCUAUUGAGCUGGGAGGCCUGAAACGACCACACUUCUACGUGAGUCUGGUCAGGACUGAUCCAUCUCUGAGAAGAGGCUUCUGGGCCUGGGGACAAGGGCAAAUGGGUCCUGGAGCAUCCAGAUGGAGAGGGGCAAUGCCCUGGUGGUGCUGCGCAGCCUGCUCUGGCCGGGCCUCACCUUCUACCACACUCCCCGCACCAAGAACUAUGGCUACAUCUACGUGGGCACCGGCGAGAAG